Non-coding RNA from Vicia faba (fava bean), 177 nucleotides. The record is from the annotation of a GenBank genome assembly. NCBI's taxonomy places the organism in Eukaryota, Viridiplantae, Streptophyta, Magnoliopsida, Fabales, Fabaceae.
AUGAUCAAAUUCACAACCCUUUUCACAAAUAAGCGAAGAAGUAGAAAGUGUCCCUCCAUUGGGAUCCAUUUGCUAUUAUCCCAACAAAAACACUCACAAAUUCAAAGUCUUUUGCCUUCAGACUUUUCUUUUGAAAAUCUUUUCAUAAAAAGGAUGUGUUAUUUCCAUUCUGCGCAA